AGAGUUUGAUCCUGGCUCAGGAUGAACGCUGGCGGCGUGCUUAACACAUGCAAGUCGAACGAACCUUCGGGUUAGUGGCGGACGGGUGAGUAACGCGUGAGAAUCUGCCCUCAGGAGGGGGAUAACGGUUGGAAACGACCGCUAAUACCCCAUAUGCCCAUGGGUGAAAUGAAUUUCGCCUGAGGAUGAGCUCGCGUCUGAUUAGCUAGUUGGUGAGGUAAUGGCUCACCAAGGCUUCGAUCAGUAGCUGGUCUGAGAGGAUGAUCAGCCACACUGGGACUGAGACACGGCCCAGACUCCUACGGGAGGCAGCAGUGGGGAAUUUUCCGCAAUGGGCGAAAGCCUGACGGAGCAACGCCGCGUGAGGGACGAAGGCCUCUGGGCUGUAAACCUCUUUUCUCAAGGAAGAAGAUAUGACGGUACUUGAGGAAUAAGCCACGGCUAAUUCCGUGCCAGCAGCCGCGGUAAUACGGGAGUGGCAAGCGUUAUCCGGAAUUAUUGGGCGUAAAGCGUCCGCAGGCGGCUUUUCAAGUCUGCUGUUAAAACGUGGAGCUUAACUCCAUCAUGGCAGUGGAAACUGAAAGGCUUGAGUAUGGUAGGGGCAGAGGGAAUUCCCGGUGUAGCGGUGAAAUGCGUAGAUAUCGGGAAGAACACCAGUGGCGAAGGCGCUCUGCUGGGCCAUUACUGACGCUCAUGGACGAAAGCCAGGGGAGCGAAAGGGAUUAGAUACCCCUGUAGUCCUGGCCGUAAACGAUGAACACUAGGUGUCGGGGGAAUCGACCCCUUCGGUGUCGUAGCUAACGCGUUAAGUGUUCCGCCUGGGGAGUACGCACGCAAGUGUGAAACUCAAAGGAAUUGACGGGGGCCCGCACAAGCGGUGGAGUAUGUGGUUUAAUUCGAUGCAACGCGAAGAACCUUACCAGGGUUUGACAUCCUGCGAACCUCUUAGAAAUUUGAGGGUGCCUUCGGGAAUGCAGUGACAGGUGGUGCAUGGCUGUCGUCAGCUCGUGUCGUGAGAUGUUGGGUUAAGUCCCGCAACGAGCGCAACCCACGUUUUUAGUUGCCAGCAUUUAGUUGGGCACUCUAGAAAGACCGCCGGUGAUAAACCGGAGGAAGGUGUGGAUGACGUCAAGUCAUCAUGCCCCUUACACCCUGGGCUACACACGUACUACAAUGCUACGGACAAAGGGCAGCAAACUCGCGAGAGCUAGCAAAUCCCAUAAACCGUGGCUCAGUUCAGAUCGUAGGCUGCAACUCGCCUACGUGAAGUAGGAAUCGCUAGUAAUCGCAGGUCAGCAUACUGCGGUGAAUACGUUCCCGGGCCUUGUACACACCGCCCGUCACACCAUGGAAGUUGGCCAUGCCCGAAGUCGUUACUCCAACCCUUGUGGAGGAGGACGCCGAAGGUGGGGCUAAUGACUGGGGUGAAGUCGUAACAAGGUAGCCGUACCGGAAGGUGCGGCUG
RNAcentral lists this ribosomal RNA (1465 nucleotides) under Prochlorococcus sp. AG-388-F11. RNAcentral describes it as "bacterial SSU rRNA". It matches the Rfam family "Bacterial small subunit ribosomal RNA". The record is from RNAcentral. Lineage: Bacteria; Bacillati; Cyanobacteriota; Cyanophyceae; Synechococcales; Prochlorococcaceae.